UCCUGAGGGGACUCAAGAAUGCCAGUAAGGCAUUGAGGCACUUUGGCAUGCCUCCUGGCGUGAUGCAUAGCCACACCAGCCAUACAUGCACUCCAAGGAAAGUUAGUUUGAGAAGGCUCAUGGUAGGAGGAAUAGCCGUGGCUUCAAGGUUUGUUUAAGUCAGCCUCUCUCUUCUUAGUUGUUGGUGUGGAGCGAAUGUUGUUCUGUUUGCGCGAUUGCCAGUAAUUAGUAAAGUACUACCUCUGUUUGGAAUUAGUUUGUCGCUGAAAUGGAUGUAUCUAAACCUAUUGUAGUGCUAGCUACAUCCUUUUGAGCGACAAGUAAUUCCGGACGAAGGGAGUACUUUGUACUCAUAGUAGCAUAAUCUAUUGCCGUGUAGGUAGCAUGGUAGAAGAGUGGCUAAUAUAUAAGCUAGUCCAGUGUUCAGUCUGAGCUCUACUCUCCUGUGGCCAUCAUGUGCACUUGUUUGUUUUUUCUCCUGAGACUUAAACACAUGUAACAAUGGCUAUUCUCUCAGGCACAUGUACACAACGAGACACAUGUUUGAAUCAGGGACUAGAGACUCUAAGGGUAUACCAGAAUUAUUAAUAAAUGUAAGACUGUUCAUAGUAGAACAUUCUAAACAUCCGUACCGUUUAGUUAAUUUGCCCAUGGUAAAUACCAGAACUUCGUGUUGAAACAGGGACUAGAGAGCCUAAUGGUACACAAAUGUCAUUAAUUAGUACUCGUUAUAGUAAAACAUUUUACGCCUCUAUACAGUUUACUGAAACCCUAGGGGUAUGCCCAGUUCCAUAUGUGGAACCAGGUCUGAAAUCUUCAGUAUUGUUGACUAGAAAUAUAUGAAAUAGAAAAAUACUGUUGAUUGGACCUGAACUUGACGCACCGUGGUAAAGACUGAGUUCUAUUACUGAUUAAUUGGGAGCUACAAUACAGAGGGACCAUGUAUUAUGUUGCGGCUCUUUAGCCUCAGUUUUAAAUCCCAACAUGGUGGCUUGUAGCAAGGUGUUUCAUCUUUGAAGUCUGUACAAUCACUGUCAUACUGCCUACUAUUAAUUUGAUUAUGCAUGCUCCUGUUUUGCUCUUUAUACAAGAUAACUUUUGUUUGACCGUCUAAGAGGAAAACAAUUAGCAUUUGCAGAGAAUUAAAAGAGUGAAACACACUGCAGCUCUAGAUAAAAACCCUUCUGAAAUUCAGAACGUCACUAGCUAGUUAAGGGGUUUGAGAUUUUAGCACUUCAAUUAAUCUGUUCUUUGUUUCCAUUCAGUCAUGUCCAUUUAAUCACUUCAGUUAACCGGAGGGCAAUAAGACAGGCGGAUGGAAUUUGUCUUAUACUUUAGAGGCUCGAGAAUUUUGAACUUUGAUGUUGUUCAAUGCUGGUGAAACUUGAGUUGCAUGCUUAGAGAAUAAGACUUACAUGCUGAUCAUAUAUUGACUGGUUAAUUGAAUCCAUAGCAACUGUUUACCUUUGCUAUGGAUUUAGUUAGUAUGAUUGUGGGCUUGCGUCCUAUUAAAAUUUGAGUCAAUCUUCCACCUGAAAAUUUGUUCCUUCUUUUGCUGCACACUAAUAGCUAGAGAUUGACUAGGACCUUGACCUUGUUGUCUUUUUAUCUCCACUUGAUUUGAACCCUCUAGUUUUGUUGCUAGCAUGUCGUGCGACUAUAAAAUCAUCAAAGAACUCUAUUCUUGGUGUCAUGAACUUGGACACAUGAUUUACUAAGAAAACUAUGCAGUUUAAACUUCCAUGUGAAAUAUGAAACGACAGACAUUGCCGUGCAGCGAUUGUAGUGUCCUUCUGCAUGUGUUUCUUACCACUUGUUAUGUUGCCAAAAUGUCUAGCAAAGAUUCUCUCGACUUCUCAAAAAAAAUUCCUUGGUUGUAAGAAUCAGACUAGUUAUGCUUUGAGCAACUCAUGGAUGAUGUAUAUACGUUUCUAGAGGCUCCACUUAUAAUAAAUAAAUAUUGAAGUUAAAAAAAAAGUUGCACCUGAAAACGUCUUCUCGUCUUCUCCUCAAUAAGCGCCAUCGGAAACAGCUCCUCGCAAGUCAUUAACGCAUUUUAGCGGCCGCUGAGACUCCACACGAUCCAUUCGGUCAGUGCAACUGCUGCAAGGCAGUUGCCAACAACACUACUUCUCAUCCCCCGCACUUCCUCUCUCACAAUGCCAUACCAGAACCGCGGUGCUAUCCCUUCCACUCUCGCUCUCUCUCUCUCUCUCCCUAAGCCAUUGUUGCGCCGCAGCCCCAUGGUGAACCCCUGCAAGGCUUGCUUGCGAUGCAGGACAAUGGCCUCAGGGAUACGAUUGCGUGUGUCGACCUGCUGGACCGCAUUCGAGUUUCUGGAACCCAUUGCAGACUUGGCCAGGACGUGCGUCGGGUUAAUCCGGAGGUGGUCAAGUUGUUGGAUUUCCCGUCGUCCUCGAAAAUGGUGUUUUCUGGGAGAAAGGCCCUGGACACAUGUGUGUGCUGACUCUGAUGGACUGGCCGGCCGUGACGGCUAAGAUCCUGUAUGAACCUCCUCCUGAAAAGUCUUAUAUAUGUCUGCCAGGUUUGCGCCCAUCCAGCAAUCAUCUUCUCCCGCAACAUCAUCUUUUCGGAUGCAUUCGCAAACAACUAGUUCAUUCGCUUGUUUCCAUUGCGUACAUUGUAGUGCUGUUUGGGAGCGAACGGUGAUUGGGUGGCCUUUGCCAAUGUACAAGGCGACAUUCACCUGCACAAUGUGUAUAGUUGUCACAAUGUUCGCCUUUCCCCUCCUUCCUGCCCAAAGUUUUGAACCGCUGAACCAAACCGGCGGGAUGCUAGAUUUCAUGUACAACAAUGUCAGGCUGGACCUGCUCAAGGUAGUCAUAUCCGCCGACGAGAAGAUUUGGCUACAUGGACUACAUUGUCAUUGAUGUCUUCGGCAAAGCAAUCGUCGUUAACACAUGUUUCAAUCCUUGUGCGGAUCAGUGGCAAAUAAUGUCUCCGGCUGUUUUGGCACCGCACUAUUAUGAAGAUGUUGUCUACGUUGCUAGCCGAAUUUGCGCCUUCACCACAAGCGGUACUUGCUUUGUGUGGGAUCUUUCAACCUACGAGCGCUGGCUCCACCAAGGUUCCUACAGGCCUCGCUCCUGCAGAAUGAAACGUGGCUCAAAUUCUGGAACCUGGUGCUAGACACGAGUGAUCACUCAAACAACAUGUAUCUUGUGCGCUCAGGCGGCGACAUGACAGGGCAGGAGCAGGGUGUUGACCAUGAAGAUCGAAUUGUGCGUCCCUACCCAACACUCAGUUGACGGGUAUUUUGAAGGCACGCAGUGGCAACCCAACAUCGACCUUGGUUCGCGAUCUCUCUUUGUAGGACAAAGCUAUCCCCUGAUGAUGGAGAUGCCACCUUUUGAUCAAGACGACAACGAGCUACCGUUCCUGAAGCGAGGAUGCGUUUUCACAGCAUGAUGUCGCACUUCCUGCUUCAAUGGUCCCCUCCCUAACAUGUGCCGGUACAGCCUUGACGGUAGUCCGACGUUGGGUGUCUUCCUGAAGAGCACGGGGUUUGACCACCCAGUGUGGUUGGUGCAGUCUCUUUGUAACGCGGCGGACUGACAUGAGCAGCAGGGGGAGUGAAGAAGAGGCUACCGUGGCUGCAUGGACAAUUUGGCGCGCCCUGUUAGUUUCUGCAGUAAGAUCUGAACACAUAUAUGGGUUUAGUUAGUUUCUGGAACUUAUUUAUGCAGUACCAGGUCACUGUGUGGUUUCUGAACUUAUGUAUGCGUCGGUAUGUGUGGUUUCUUAACUUAUGUAUGCAUGCUAUCUAUGUAUCAUCUAUCUAUGAUAUUUA
Molecule: long non-coding RNA, 3811 nt
Organism: Triticum aestivum (bread wheat)
Lineage: Eukaryota; Viridiplantae; Streptophyta; Magnoliopsida; Poales; Poaceae
Exons: 2
Source: RefSeq, a predicted model, not a curated record